This 298-nucleotide unclassified non-coding RNA is filed under the name plant metagenome. RNAcentral's name for it is "partial contains small subunit ribosomal RNA, internal transcribed spacer 1, and 5.8S ribosomal RNA". The record is from RNAcentral.
UUUCCGUAGGUGAACCUGCGGAAGGAUCAUUAUUGAAUGAACUUGGCGUGGUUGUCGCUGGCCCUCUCGGGGGUAUGUGCACGCCCGCCAUCUUUAUCUUUCCACCUGUGCACACUUUGUAGACUUGAAUAGUAUUUUCUGAGGCAACUCAGUCGGGAGGAUUGCUGGUAUUUAUCAGCUCUCCUUGCAUUAUUCAAGCCUAUGUUUUUCAUAUACCCCAAAAAUGUAACAGAAUGUAUCAUUGGGCCUUGUGCCUAUGAACUAUAUACAACUUUCAGCAACGGAUCUCUUGGCUCUC